AGCACAGCGCCUAAGAGGAUAUUUACAGCCAGUGACAAGACGGCAUCCGCCUGAGCCUGCAUAAAUAGUUGGACGGCUGUGGCGAUUGCUCUUCUUCAGUUACCAAAUCUGCACUCAACAUUUCAGAUGACAACCGAGGACUCUGCACCUGAGCCACCCAAGCUACUUGGAGCCCAACUUUCCAGUUCAAAAAGCUUCAGCACAGCGCCUAAGAGGAUAUUUACAGCCAGUGACAAGACGGCAUCCGCCUGAGCCUGCAUAAAUAGUUGGACGGCUGUGGCGAUUGCUCUUCUUCAGUUACCAAAUCUGCACUCAACAUUUCAGAUGACAACCGAGGACUCUGCACCUGAGCCACCCAAGCUACUUGGAGCCCAACUUUCCAGUUCAAAAAGCUUCAGCACAGCGCCUAAGAGGAUAUUUACAGCCAGUGACAAGACGGCAUCCGCCUGAGCCUGCAUAAAUAGUUGGACCCUUCUGUUUUGAACAGCUGACACCUACAUCUACUCCAGAUGACCUGUAGGACGUUUGAUCAGCUACCUGCAUCCAAUCCACAUGGUACUAUUAUUAUAACUUGUAUAAAAUGCUAGGAUUAGUGUUUAUUUUAGCACCUUCACAACCUGUGCAGUUCCUCCUGCCUGGGGUGUCGUUCUGUACUCUAGUGCUUCUAUCACAAGUCUUCCACUGAAAUAAAGACCAGAGUGAUAGAAGCACCAGAGCAGAGGACGACACCCCUGGCAGGAAAGAAUAACUGCACAAGUUGUGACAGGUGCAGGAUGAUAGAACACUGUAGUUGUAAUCUACCAUACAGUAGAGCUACAUUGGUGAUGAAUGGACCACAAAUACUUUUAUUUAACACUCUUCACUUUCAAAUCCUUGUCCGCAUGUAAAAGGUAAACAUUAAAUAAAA
This is a long non-coding RNA of Pseudophryne corroboree (corroboree frog), 907 nucleotides long. RefSeq lists it as uncharacterized. The transcript has 3 exons. The record is from RefSeq and is a predicted model, not a curated record. Lineage: Eukaryota; Metazoa; Chordata; Amphibia; Anura; Myobatrachidae.